AAAUUGAAGAGUUUGAUCAUGGCUCAGAUUGAACGCUGGCGGCAGGCCUAACACAUGCAAGUCGAACGGUAGCACAGAGAGCUUGCUCUCGGGUGACGAGUGGCGGACGGGUGAGUAAUGUCUGGGAAACUGCCUGAUGGAGGGGGAUAACUACUGGAAACGGUGGCUAAUACCGCAUAACGUCGCAAGACCAAAGAGGGGGACCUUCGGGCCUCUUGCCAUCAGAUGUGCCCAGAUGGGAUUAGCUUGUUGGUGAGGUAACGGCUCACCAAGGCGACGAUCCCUAGCUGGUCUGAGAGGAUGACCAGCCACACUGGAACUGAGACACGGUCCAGACUCCUACGGGAGGCAGCAGUGGGGAAUAUUGCACAAUGGGCGCAAGCCUGAUGCAGCCAUGCCGCGUGUAUGAAGAAGGCCUUCGGGUUGUAAAGUACUUUCAGCGGGGAGGAAGGUGUUGUGGUUAAUAACCACAGCAAUUGACGUUACCCGCAGAAGAAGCACCGGCUAACUCCGUGCCAGCAGCCGCGGUAAUACGGAGGGUGCAAGCGUUAAUCGGAAUUACUGGGCGUAAAGCGCACGCAGGCGGUCUGUCAAGUCGGAUGUGAAAUCCCCGGGCUCAACCUGGGAACUGCAUUCGAAACUGGCAGGCUUGAGUCUUGUAGAGGGGGGUAGAAUUCCAGGUGUAGCGGUGAAAUGCGUAGAGAUCUGGAGGAAUACCGGUGGCGAAGGCGGCCCCCUGGACAAAGACUGACGCUCAGGUGCGAAAGCGUGGGGAGCAAACAGGAUUAGAUACCCUGGUAGUCCACGCCGUAAACGAUGUCUACUUGGAGGUUGUGCCCUUGAGGCGUGGCUUCCGGAGCUAACGCGUUAAGUAGACCGCCUGGGGAGUACGGCCGCAAGGUUAAAACUCAAAUGAAUUGACGGGGGCCCGCACAAGCGGUGGAGCAUGUGGUUUAAUUCGAUGCAACGCGAAGAACCUUACCUGGUCUUGACAUCCACGGAAGUUUUCAGAGAUGAGAAUGUGCCUUCGGGAACCGUGAGACAGGUGCUGCAUGGCUGUCGUCAGCUCGUGUUGUGAAAUGUUGGGUUAAGUCCCGCAACGAGCGCAACCCUUAUCCUUUGUUGCCAGCGGUUAGGCCGGGAACUCAAAGGAGACUGCCAGUGAUAAACUGGAGGAAGGUGGGGAUGACGUCAAGUCAUCAUGGCCCUUACGACCAGGGCUACACACGUGCUACAAUGGCGCAUACAAAGAGAAGCGACCUCGCGAGAGCAAGCGGACCUCAUAAAGUGCGUCGUAGUCCGGAUUGGAGUCUGCAACUCGACUCCAUGAAGUCGGAAUCGCUAGUAAUCGUGGAUCAGAAUGCCACGGUGAAUACGUUCCCGGGCCUUGUACACACCGCCCGUCACACCAUGGGAGUGGGUUGCAAAAGAAGUAGGUAGCUUAACCUUCGGGAGGGCGCUUACCACUUUGUGAUUCAUGACUGGGGUGAAGUCGUAACAAGGUAACCGUAGGGGAACCUGCGGUUGGAUCACCUCCUUACCUGAAAGAAGC
Molecule: ribosomal RNA, 1552 nt
Filed under: Salmonella enterica subsp. enterica serovar Derby
Lineage: Bacteria; Pseudomonadati; Pseudomonadota; Gammaproteobacteria; Enterobacterales; Enterobacteriaceae
Description: bacterial SSU rRNA
Rfam family: Bacterial small subunit ribosomal RNA
Source: RNAcentral